RNA transcript from Corythoichthys intestinalis (scribbled pipefish), 4062 nucleotides. It is a transcript of the gene named protein PTHB1-like, with no coding region annotated. The transcript is spliced from 24 exons. The record is from RefSeq and is a predicted model, not a curated record. Lineage: Eukaryota; Metazoa; Chordata; Actinopteri; Syngnathiformes; Syngnathidae.
AUACUCCUCCCGAUUUAAGCGUCAGUGCCAUGACAACAAGGCGAUGGCUUCCAGAGAGAGUCGAAUGUGAUUUUUUUUUAGGAGUUAGCGAGGAGUAGCAAACCUGCGGGCUUGUCAGACGCCUCUGUGAAAACAAGAUGUCUCUAUUCAAGGCGCGGGAUUGGUGGUCGGCAACUCUCGGCGAAGGCGAGGAGUUCGACCAAGGCUGCAUCUGCGUUGGAGAUGUGGACAACAGCGGCACAGGACAUGACAAGGUGGUGGUAGGCAGCUACAUGGGCAUGCUGCGGAUAUUCUCCCCGCACUCCUCCAAAGCCGCCGAAGGAGCACAAAGCUCGGCCGAAGCGCAGCUUCUGGAGGUGCACCUCCAGAACGCCAUCAUCCAGGUGGAGCUGGGGAAGUUUGUCUCGUGUUCGGAUCUUCUCCACCUGGCCGUCCUUCACCCCAGGAAGCUGUCCGUCUACUCCGUCCUGGGCACAACGGGGAACGUGGGCCACGGCGACCAGUACCAGAUCAAACUGGUCUACGAGCACAACCUGCAAAGGACCGCCUGCAACAUGACAUACGGAACCUUUGGAGGCGUAACAGGUCACCACUCGCUUUGCAUCCAAUCCAUGGACGGCAUGCUGAUGUUCUUCGAGCAGGACAGUUACUCCUUCGGAAGGUUCCUCCCGGGCUUCCUUCUUCCGGGCCCUCUGUGCUACAACCCGCGAACGGACAGCUUCCUCACAGUGUCCUCUGCCCGCCAGCUGGAGAGCUACAAGUACGAAACACUUGCCGUCGCCACGGAAGCGGAAAGCCGCCAAGACCCCGAGCAGCCCCUCAAGACGGGCAGCAAGAGGCUGACCCCUGACUGGACGUUGAUUCUAGGCGAGCAAGCCCUGGACAUCUCCGUGCCGUGCUUCUCCCACUCGGCCAUGUUCAUCUUCGUCCUGGGCGAGCGGAACCUUUAUUGCUUGCGAGACAAUGGGCUUAUUUACUUCAUGAAGAAGUUGGAGUUCAACCCCAGCUGCUUCUUGCCGUAUGCCUCAUUGAGCAAUGGCAGCACCAACCUGUUGCUAGGCAACCACACCAACAUGCUGCUGGUGUACCAGGACGUCACGCUCAAGUGGGCUGCCCAGCUCGCUUUCGUGCCCGUGGCGCUUCGGGUCGCCAACUUCCCGGAUCUGAAGGGCGCCGUGGUGAGCCUGAGUUGGGACGGCCACCUGCUGUGCUCCUACAUGGGCACCGACCCGUCCUUCUUCUCCACGCCCAAGGUGGACGCCCGCGAGGUGGACUACGAGCAGGCUGACGCCGAGAUGAAGCAGCUGUACAAGUUCAUCAGGGAGGCCAGCAGGACGCAAGACAUUCUACCAAAAGGUGAAAAUGAAGAGAACGUGACAGUGACAGCGUGCGUGUCUUCAAACAUGGACAUCCCCUCGCAAGCUUUGAUCCAAGACAUGGCUGGCUUUCCUGUUCCUUCGGUGAACGUAAAGGUGACGGUGAAAGCCAACAGCGUGCUGGCUUCUUCCAGACUAAUCGUCGGAGUUCAACCUCCGCUUGCCGUCACUCAGGACCAGUUUGUCCUCGAACCUUUAGGUGUGGGCUCGUCCACCUCCGUGGUCUUUUCAGCCUUCCUGAACGGUCGCUACCCACCUGCCGACCUCAGCGGCGACAUCACCCUGUCUUACAGCACGCCCACAGAGUUCAACCCCAAAGGAGUCCCUCAUGUCCACCAAAGCCAGUUCAAACUUCCUCUCGCCCUCGUCUGUACGUCAUCUUCUCCCAGCAAGAGCAGCGUCUUCAAAAUCACCGUCGACACCAACCAGCCGCCCGUAGACCUGGCCACCAUCUUUCCUGAGUUCGCGGCCCAGUCGGAAGAUAACGAGGGGAACGGUUUGGCUCUCCGCUUCUUGCCUGGUGGCGUGGUCACCGUGCUGGCUUCAAAGACCUCCCAGCGCUAUCGCAUCCAGAGCGACGCAUUCGAGGACAUGUGGCUGGUGACCAACGAGCUCGUCCACAGAGUCGACCAUCACUUCUCCGCGUUAGGAGUGGACGACUUCAAGAAGAGCUUCAGCGGACCACCGCCCCUCAAAGACUACUUCCUGUCCAUUGACCACCACUUCCAGCUUCGCGUCAGCGCUCAAAAGUACCAGGACCUCCUUUCUGAACGGGCCGCCCAGUUCCGAGCCAUCCAGCGGCGCCUGCUGACCCGCUUUAAAGACAAAACUCCGGCGCCGCUGCAGAACCUCGACACCCUGUUAGACGCCACCUAUACCCAGGUCAUGUCACUAGCAGAGGCGGCGGAGGAAAACGCGUGCCAGCUGGAGGAGGCUUUCGUGCGGCUGAGGAGCUCCACGCAGCUACUGGUUCUGCUGCUGUCGCUGUGGCAGGGCCUGACGCCCGAGCAGAGCAACAUCUUGGAGGCUAGCAUGCUGCCUCUGCUGCAGGACACGCCACAGUUGGGCUGGGAGGAGUGCUGCGACGCGGCGGUGUCCCACCUUCUGCGGACGUGCUUGUCUCGCAGUCCCAAGGAGCAGGCCACCACGCUGGCUCAGGCCGGCGGGGCCGUGCUAACUCUGCCCCAGGAUACGACGCGCCUCAAGAAGCACAUCACGCUGCUGUGCGAGCGACUGGCCAAAGGGGGACGCCUCACGCUGGCCUCAGAGGCCAACGUGCAGGUCCCUGCGCAGGUUCAAAACUUGGCUGCCCCUGGCGGCGGCAGCGUAGAGCCCAUCGCCGAGCUAGCGGGAGACGAGACGGCGGAGCCUGAGGACGCCACCAAGUUCAUCAAGAAGAAAUCAUCUUCAAAGAAAGUCAAGAAAGAUAAAGACCCCAAAAAAGUCUCCAGCGAGCCAUCGGAGGGCGCCGUGACAGAAGAAGCGACGUCGACCGAGGUGAAGAAGAAAGAGUCGUCCAAGGACAGAGCCAGGAAGGAGGAGGCCAAGACCAAGGAAGCUAAAAAGGAGACGUCGUCGUCCUCCUCCUCCGCCAAGGAGAAGAAGGAGGCGGGCAAGGAGGCGGGAGACAAAAAAGUCACGAAGAAGACAUCGACGGGAAAGGUCAAAGAGAGGAAGAAGGAAGUUGAGACCGGAGCUGGGGAGGCCUGAAAAGUACAAACUUGAAGGGAGAAUCCAACCCUACCGUGAGGCAGACACGCGAACCACUAAGCCACUGUACAUAUUGAAGCAUUUUCACUUGACGCUCUUUUGGGUUGUUUUUUUUUUUUUUUUUCAAUUCAUUGGCAGCCAUUGACAGGGAUAGAUUAGAUGUCUAAAUCAAUUUCGACUGGACUUGAAUUUGAUGUCUAGUGGGGAUUUAAAAUAGGGCUGUCAAAAUUAUCGCGUUAGCGGUAAUUCAUUUUUUAAUUAAUCACGUUAAAAUAUUUGACGCAAUUAACGCACGUGCCCCACUCAAACAGAUUAAAAUGAAAGCACAGUGUAAUGUCCACUUGUUACCUUUUUUUGGGGGGUGUUUGGCGUCCUCUGCUGGCGCUUGGGUCCAACUGAUUUUAUGGGUUAGUACCAAGAGUGAGCAUGGUGUAAUUAUUGACAUCAACAAUGGCGGGCUACUAGUUUAUUUUUUGAUUGAAAACUUUACAAAUUUUAUUAGAACGAAAACAUUAAGAGGGGUUUUAACAUAAAAAUUCUAUAAGUUGUAUUAGCAUUUAUCUUUAAGAACUACAAGUCUUUCUAUCCAUGGAUCACUUUAACAGAAUUUUAAUCAUGUUAAUGCCAUCUUGUUGAUUUAUUGUUAUAAUAAACAAAUACAGUACUAAUGCACUGUAUAUAUUCAUCUUGUGGCUUACCUUUCCAUUCCAACAAUAAUUUACAGAAAAAUAUGGCAUAUUUUAUCGGUGGUUUGAAUUGCGAUUAAUUAAUUUUUUUAGCUGUAAUUAACUCGAUUCAAAAUUUUAAUCGUUUGACAGCCCUAAUUUAAAUUAGAAGCAAUAGAAUGACGUCUAUGACCGUCAAUGGCUGAAAAAGUUCACGAUGUAAUCUCAGGUGAAGAUUUCUUUGCAAUGAUUUUGUUGGUUAGUUGGCAAACAUGAAUACUUGCAAAUAAAGAAAGAGGUGAGAAUCCAAA